GAGAUGCAUAUAGCAUCGUUUCGAUGCCUUUUGACUAAAUUCCGAAUGCGGUUUUCUUAUCUUUGGUUCAUCUUCGCUCGUGUCGUAGCUUGGCACGGUCGCCGCCAUAUUGUUUGUUUAUCGAAGCGCAUAGCAACAGUCCUCGUCUCCUAUUGGUGCACGUGACCUAAAAUGGCUUCACACACUGACGAUACGACUCCGCCGUAUCAAUAUCACUGCGCCACGGGGGGAAAAAAAGACCGACACGAAAACGCUAAUUACUAAAAAAUGACUGGAAACCCCUAAUGGGACAGUUUAUUCAAGCAGCACCACCUGCUCGCUUGACGCGGACAUCAAGACCAUGCCUGGUCGAAGUGAUGUAACAGCAUUGGGGCCUGGAAAUAUCAACUGUCUCCCUAGGUCAAUCAGGAGCUGCCAGUCUCAUGCUGUCGUGAGCAGUACCCCUUGGAUGGUUGAGCCUUCUCACCUGCUCGAACGAAAGCAACUGUGGUCCUGGAUGGGCCUUGCUACGUUGAUGCCGGAGCAGAUGGUUAAAACGGACAAAAGUUGAACAGUUUUUCCCCUCCCCAAAAAGGGCGGAAUGCACACCAGAAAGAGCAUCUGAACUGUCUCGAAAUAUUCUGAAGAUGAUUGUCCGGGACAUGAGGCCCAUUGCAACGCAUUUUAACAUUUAGAACAAUAUAGACAUACCACAAAAAGAGUAAGAAUUGUUUUGAGUCCUGUUAAAAAGAUGAAAUAACAGUGUUUCCGUUUACAUUUUUCUUUUGCACUAGUUAAUGCCAUUAGCAUUUGACCUCAAUGUUUGUGAUUUAUUAUUGACAUGUUAUUUAUUUACACAUUAAUAAAGAAUUUAGGUGUUCCAAAAUGUUUUUGUGUCUUAAUAAG
This is a long non-coding RNA of Corythoichthys intestinalis (scribbled pipefish), 885 nucleotides long. RefSeq lists it as uncharacterized. The record is from RefSeq and is a predicted model, not a curated record. Lineage: Eukaryota; Metazoa; Chordata; Actinopteri; Syngnathiformes; Syngnathidae. The transcript has 3 exons.